This 484-nucleotide ribosomal RNA is filed under the name uncultured bacterium. RNAcentral describes it as "partial 16S ribosomal RNA". It matches the Rfam family "Bacterial small subunit ribosomal RNA", at positions 30 to 507 of the family's 1533-position model. The record is from RNAcentral.
AUUGAACGCUGGCGGCAGGCCUAACACAUGCAAGUCGAGCGGAAGAAGGGAGCUUGCUCCUGGAUUCAGCGGCGGACGGGUGAGUAAUGCCUAGGAAUCUGCCUGGUAGCGGGGGAUAACGUCCGGAAACGGGCGCUAAUACCGCAUACAUCCAGAGGGAGAAAGUGGGGGAUCUUCGGAUCUCACGCCAUCAGAUGAGCCUAGGUCGGAUUAGCUAGUUGGUGGGGUAAAGGCCUACCAAGGCGACGAUCCGUAACUGGUCUGAGAGGAUGAUCAGUCACACUGGAACUGAGACACGGUCCAGACUCCUACGGGAGGCAGCAGUGGGGAAUAUUGGACAAAGGGCGAAAGCCUGAUCCAGCCAUGCCGCGUGUGUGAAGAAGGUCUUCGGAUUGUAAAGCACUUUAAGUUGGGAGGAAGGGCAGUAAGUUAAUACCUUGCUGUUUUGACGUUACCAACAGAAUAAGCACCGGCUAACUUCGUG